CAGAGAGAAACUGCAAGUUUACUCUUGAUAUGAAGACUAAAAAUAUCAAGGGGAGACGCUGGUGUGCAUGUGUCAGAUGCCCCACACUAUAUAAGUCAACAAUAUCCAGGUAACAGGAUCCCUUGAGACAUGACCCCUCCAGCCACAGUCAUCUGGAUACAGUGAAAAUUGACUCAUGACUCAUGGUAUGACCACACUCAUGGCUGGCUACAAAUGAGAGGAAAAAAGAAUGUCCUGAUAGUAGCAUGUGAGGAACUGCAUCAGGACAUAAGAGCCAGUGUAGAGAGAAUCAGCCAAUUAGUGGGCAAGAAACUAAGCCCAGAAGAACUGAACUCCAGUCAUUAAGCACACAUCCUUCCGGACCAUGAAAGAUAAUAAAAUGAGCAACUAUUCCUUA
This is a long non-coding RNA of Gorilla gorilla gorilla (western lowland gorilla), 397 nucleotides long. RefSeq lists it as uncharacterized. The record is from RefSeq and is a predicted model, not a curated record. The transcript has 3 exons. Lineage: Eukaryota; Metazoa; Chordata; Mammalia; Primates; Hominidae.